UGCAGAAUUUAUCUGAUAAGGGAUAGUGUUAAAAAGUCAGCAGGUCCUGGGUAUGUGAAACUGAGUACCAAGAGGAGACUGGAUAUCGUGAAGUCAAACUUCUCAAAUUCCACAAAUUGGCCUCAGAUGGUAUCUCAGUUUGGACAUGAAGAGAAGACCGCUCCUGUGUCCACGCAUGGAGAAGAACCGCUGGCCCUCCCUGGUCGUCUGUCCACUAGGGCAUCUGCCUCUGCGUUCUUGUGCCCUGGUUUCUGAGUGCAGAACCACUAAAAUCCUGGCUUCUUUCCUCAGCAUCCUGGCGAGGUAUCCUCAGCCUCUGAACCCGUCAGCCACAUUCACACCCAGAGGAACCAGGAAGCAUCCACAGCUUCCCCUACACCCUACAGCUCUGCCUCAGGUCCUCCCAAAGCUAUAUCCAAAUAAGGUUACAUUCUGAGGUACUAGGAUUAGGAUUUCAACAUAUGAAUUUUGGGGGACACAAAACUGAAUCCAUAAAAAGGUGGUUGGGGUCCUUUUAGAAAACAUGUUCCAAAAGUCCACGUAUCUACGAAUUUUUAAAAACUAGAAGAUGAUUUUGAAUUGAGCCUGCUAUUAAGAGAGAUUUCAUUUAAAGACUGAAAAUAAACAUCUUCUACAAGAAUGAUAUAUUUUUUGCAUUCCUAAACAGUGAUCAGCAUAUGGUAGUUGCUGAAAUAUGCCAUUGUUUCUAUAGGAAAUGUAGACAUUUUAGUUACUUGGGGAUGGAAAUGGGGAAGUCAUUUUCUUUGGAAGAGUAACUAAGAAGGAACCCAAAAUAAGGGUAUUGUCAAGGAUAGUUCAGCAGACGGAGAAGGUCUUAGUUUCUUUCUUAAAGCAUCCCUCUUCACUCUCUGAGAAACUUGUCUUCCUAUCUUCA
This 895-nucleotide long non-coding RNA is filed under the name Homo sapiens (human). RNAcentral describes it as "HSALNT0102891". Lineage: Eukaryota; Metazoa; Chordata; Mammalia; Primates; Hominidae. The record is from RNAcentral.